RNAcentral lists this ribosomal RNA (478 nucleotides) under uncultured bacterium. RNAcentral describes it as "partial 16S ribosomal RNA". It matches the Rfam family "Bacterial small subunit ribosomal RNA", at positions 28 to 507 of the family's 1533-position model. The record is from RNAcentral.
GAUGAACGCUGGCGGCGUGCUUAACACAUGCAAGUCGAACGGGAAACCUUUUAUUGAAGCUUCGGCAGAUUUAGCUGGUUUCUAGUGGCGGACGGGUGAGUAACGCGUGGGUAACCUGCCUUAUACAGGGGGAUAACAACCAGAAAUGGUUGCUAAAACCGCAUAAGCGCACAGGACCGCAUGGUCCGGUGUGAAAAACUCCGGUGGUAUAAGAUGGACCCGCGUUGGAUUAGCUAGUUGGCAGGGUAACGGCCUACCAAGGCGACGAUCCAUAGCCGGCCUGAGAGGGUGAACGGCCACAUUGGGACUGAGACACGGCCCAGACUCCUACGGGAGGCAGCAGUGGGGAAUAUUGCACAAUGGGGGAAACCCUGAUGCAGCGACGCCGCGUGAAGGAAGAAGUAUCUCGGUAUGUAAACUUCUAUCAGCAGGGAAGAUAGUGACGGUACCUGACUAAGAAGCCCCGGCUAACUACGUG